Humulus lupulus (European hop) is the source of this 573-nucleotide long non-coding RNA. RefSeq lists it as uncharacterized. Lineage: Eukaryota; Viridiplantae; Streptophyta; Magnoliopsida; Rosales; Cannabaceae. The transcript has 2 exons. The record is from RefSeq and is a predicted model, not a curated record.
UCCUUCUCUUUCCCUUCUCUCUUUCUUCGUUGCCUUCCCUCUCCUUUUUAUUCUUUUCUGUAAUGGUAGCUUCGGAAACCAUGGAAGGCAGCCACAUGUUGUAGAACAAAGAGAAAUCAACCUUGGGUUGUGGACUAAUGGAUCAACGGCAACGACAGACCUCCAACCCAGAUCUCCGACGUGAGAUUUCAGAUCUUGUACUUCAACCAUGGAAGGCAGCGACAGAGACUGGAAGAUGGAUAGGAGAAGGUGACCUACGGGAGGAAACAAGAAGAGUGAUGGGAAGGCAGUGGGGAGAUGGCUUGGAGAAGAGAUCGGAGGUGACCUACGAGAAGGCAUUUGGGCUACGGAGACAAGGUGUUCGAUGACUAGGAGGAUCGAAAGAUUGCUUUGACUAAGAUAGUGAUUUGUGUUGUUGAAAGAUUUGGGUUUUUACUUUUCAAAUAUGGUUUUUGUUUAUGGAUUUUUGGAUUUGAAUUUUUGUAUUUUGAUUGUAUUUUGGUGAAAUUGUAGAUUUUUCAACCCAUUGUAUGCUUAGAAUUGUGAGAUUUUGAAAUGAAAUCUAUAUAUUGA